UGUUUUUGGAAUAUCAAACCCCUGUUAAUGGGUCAAAGCCAAAUGAGUGUGAUGUGGCCUGGAGGUUUAGAAACAAGAAAGAGAAGUCAUGGAGAAAGUAUAGGGACUUUAGGAGGUUUGAGUUUGGAACUGGGAAAAAUUGUAAUAAAAUUGUGCACGCAGGUGGUUGGCAUUCAGGCAUUAAUUCCCGGAGGCAAAGGAAUAGAGUUAAUGCUACUAAGAGUGGUGGCAAUAUUCUGAAAAUUACAUCAACAUUUCGUGAUGAGGAGAUAAAUGACACAAUCCCAAGUUUGGGAUCAGAGAUGAAUUUUAGGAAAGGGAGGUACCUUUAUUAUUCUAGGGGAGGGGAUUAUUGU
This 356-nucleotide unclassified non-coding RNA is filed under the name Hevea brasiliensis (rubber tree). The record is from RNAcentral. Lineage: Eukaryota; Viridiplantae; Streptophyta; Magnoliopsida; Malpighiales; Euphorbiaceae.